CUUAGGUCCAAAAAUAAACAGUAAAGUUGGAUCCCUCUUUUAAAGUAAGUAGGAAGUAGGAUAUCUGUCAAGAAACUCGGCACUUUAUCAAUUUACUCUUGAUUUUUCUUGGUUGCAUCAACAUACAAGAUUCCAGCUUCUUUCCUAUACUAUAUCCAACAUCACACGAGUUUUGUGGUGGAUUCAAGUUGCAGGAUUGCGUAAUGCUCAGCCACCUUGUUAUUUGGGUUUUGAGCUGCAGAGAUAUCUCCAUCCAAUAUAUGUUUAGUAUCAAGCUGAUUAAUUAAAAAUAUUUGGGACACUUUAACUUGACCAAUUCUUUUUCCUUACUACAUCUGAUUGGAAUCUGAAAGGGUUUUCUUUUAUGGGUAAAGUUCCUUUCUUUGAUGGCUGGACUUGUGAAUUUGACUUUUUGUUUGUAGGAUUAUUACUUGUAAGACUAUUUUCUUUAUCUUUAUUCAAGAUUUCAUCGACUCUAUUUCCUCCUCCUCUGGUGACAUCGGCGAGACUAACGAUACUCACUUAAACUUUCAUCUGCAUUUAAUUUUUUAGAUGGGUUUUUUUGAAUAGGGCAGAAUGUAGCAGAAGCCUCAUUAGUUGUUCAGAAGACUGAAAUUGGGUACCAAGAGGUGCACCUUUCUUCAUUCUUAUAACUCUAACAUUCCAUACAUCUGUUAACUAUUAUUUAUGAAUCUUAAAAUUAUUACAUUUCACAAUUUCCUAGAUUUUCAUUUUCUUUUAUUAUAUCUUGCCACCCUCUAUUAUCAAUGAGUUAAAAUCAAUAUAUUAUUUUAAUUUUCUCUCUCUUCUGGUUAUGCAUUUACACCAACCCAAUCGACAAGAUCGGCAGAUUCUUUAUCAUUCACAAAUUCAGAGUCUUAUAUCAUUCACAAAUUUUAGAUGAAUAUUUAUUCUGAAACUUUGUUAGGUUCUUUGUUUUUUCAAUUUUGACUUUGUGUUUCCAUUGAAUAUUGGUUAUAUAUUUUUGUAGCAUAUGCAUAUGUAUAUGUUCGUGUUAUUGUGUUAGGUAAAUUUGGGGCAGUGUAUUGAUGAUGAAGCUGAUAUUCUGUGGGAAAUUCGAGUACAAGACUCAACAGUUGGAUUUGGAGCGAUUGUUCUGCAGAUAUGGAAGAGUUGAACGCGUUGACAUGAAAUCCGGUAAAUAAAUUGCAUUUUUUGGUGUUUAUCAAGAUAAUGUGAUAUCUGUAUCUUGAUAUUUCACUGUUAUUUCUUGAUUAUUGUAUGUAAAG
RNAcentral lists this long non-coding RNA (1250 nucleotides) under Olea europaea subsp. europaea. Lineage: Eukaryota; Viridiplantae; Streptophyta; Magnoliopsida; Lamiales; Oleaceae. The record is from RNAcentral.